Molecule: ribosomal RNA, 253 nt
Filed under: uncultured bacterium
Lineage: Bacteria
Description: partial 16S ribosomal RNA
Rfam family: Bacterial small subunit ribosomal RNA
Source: RNAcentral
UACGUAGGUGGCAAGCGUUUGUCCGGAAUUAUUGGGCGUAAGCGCGCGCAGGCGGCCUCUUAAGUCUGAUGUGAAAGCCCCCGGCUCAACCGGGGAGGGCCAUUGGAAACUGGGAGGCUUGAGUAUAGGAGAGAAGAGUGGAAUUCCACGUGUAGCGGUGAAAUGCGUAGAGAUGUGGAGGAACACCAGUGGCGAAGGCGACUCUUUGGCCUAUAACUGACGCUGAGGCGCGAAAGCGUGGGGAGCAAACAGG